RNAcentral lists this ribosomal RNA (508 nucleotides) under uncultured bacterium. RNAcentral's name for it is "partial 16S ribosomal RNA". It matches the Rfam family "Bacterial small subunit ribosomal RNA", at positions 28 to 507 of the family's 1533-position model. The record is from RNAcentral.
GACGAACGCUGGCGGCGUGCCUAAUACAUGCAAGUCGAACGCUUCUUUCCUCCCGAGUGCUUGCACUCAAUUGGAAAGAGGAGUGGCGGACGGGUGAGUAACACGUGGGUAACCUACCCAUCAGAGGGGGAUAACACUUGGAAACAGGUGCUAAUACCGCAUAACAGUUUAUGCCGCAUGGCAUAAGAGUGAAAGGCGCUUUCGGGUGUCGUUGAUGGAUGGACCCGCGGUGCAUUAGCUAGUUGGUGAGGUAACGGCUCACCAAGGCCACGAUGCAUAGCCGACCUGAGAGAGUGAUCGGCCACACUGGGACUGAGACACGGCCCAGACUCCUACGGGAGGCAGCAGUAGGGAAUCUUCGGCAAUGGACGAAAGUCUGACCGAGCAACGCCGCGUGAGUGAAGAAGGUUUUCGGAUCGUAAAACUCUGUUGUUAGGGAAGAACAAGGACGUUAGUAACUGAACGUCCCCUGACGGUAUCUAACCAGAAAGCCACGGCUAACUACGUG